UAAAAAAUAAGCUAAAUUUAAGCUUUUAGGUUCAUACCCUAAUCAUAAAGAUUAAUCUUUUUUUUUAA
This 68-nucleotide transfer RNA is filed under the name Pseudolycoriella sp. XQM-2020. RNAcentral describes it as "tRNA-Met". Lineage: Eukaryota; Metazoa; Arthropoda; Insecta; Diptera; Sciaridae. The record is from RNAcentral.